Molecule: ribosomal RNA, 487 nt
Filed under: uncultured bacterium
Lineage: Bacteria
Description: partial 16S ribosomal RNA
Rfam family: Bacterial small subunit ribosomal RNA
Source: RNAcentral
GAUGAACGCUAGCGAUUGGCUUAACACAUGCAAGUCGAGGGGCAGCACAAGGUAGCUUGCUCUCUGGGUGGCGACCGGCGCACGGGUGCGUAACGCGUAUGCAACUUGCCCUAUACAGGAGGAUAACCCGUCGAAAGACGGACUAAUACUGCGUAUGCUCACAACUUGGCAUCAAGUGGUGAGGAAAGAAAUUCGGUAUAGGAUAGGCAUGCGUCCCAUUAGCUUGUUGGUGAGGUAACGGCUCACCAAGGCAACGAUGGGUAGGGGAACUGAGAGGUUUAUCCCCCACACUGGUACUGAGACACGGACCAGACUCCUACGGGAGGCAGCAGUGAGGAAUAUUGGUCAAUGGGCGCGAGCCUGAACCAGCCAAGUCGCGUGAAGGAUGACUGUCUUAUGGAUUGUAAACUUCUUUUAUACGGGAAUAACAAGAGUCACGUGUGACUCCCUGCAUGUACCGUAUGAAUAAGCAGCGGCUAACUCCGUG